Molecule: non-coding RNA, 897 nt
Organism: Styela clava
Lineage: Eukaryota; Metazoa; Chordata; Ascidiacea; Stolidobranchia; Styelidae
Source: RefSeq, a predicted model, not a curated record
ACCUGAGGAAAUGUUGUGAAUGAACAUUCGACAUAUAGAGGUUGCAACAUGAGUCACAACGUGGAAGAAGUGUUGUCAACAGACAUAACUACAAUUGGAUUGUAAUCUUGCAGACAUGUGGGAAAGGAGAAGUCUUCAGCAUGACUGAAAUCACUAGAAUCUGGUGAUUUUAUCUAAAGAAUGGAAAUGUGCAAAGAUGUGAUAUGAUAGCGAACCAUAGCUGGGCUGCAAAGAGGCUCCUAAAUAUUACAGCUCAAAUGAGCGAAACGUAAUGGCGAAAAAGGUGUAUAUCGACUGUGUCCGCUGAAGAGUCUCAAAAGUGAACCACCCGAUGUCGAAAUUAUGGAUUCUUGUAAAUCUGACGUUGGGAGUUGAACAUUUUUUCAACCUGGGUGUCAAAGCCUCGUAUUUGUUCAUGAAUGACUCAAGUUUGAUUUCUACGACUGCCGCAAAUCUGAUACUAGUGUAGUUUUCAUUCUAACAAUGCCUUGAUUCUUUUUUUGACAUUUUUGAUAGUUCGAUAUUGUUUUUACUUUUUCUUUCAUCUCACGACUGCCUGAUCGAAAUCCUACAAGAGGGUGUUAUAUUUUAAAUGAUAAAAAACCUCUUCCUUGACGAAACUUCCUAAAUUUAUGGUGAAUCAUCAGUAAAUAAAACUAAUUGACUCGAUUUUUUUUAAACGCAGUACAAGUAAGCAAUAAAUUCCUUAUUUUUAAAAAAGAAAUUAUAAUUAAAUAAAUAAAUUAUAAUUAAAUAUAAUUUGUAAAACAGUUGUAUAGCAGAUUUUUUCUCACUUAAUGUGGAAACCCGAAGUGACCUUUGUACCCCUCCAAGUUUCCUGGUAUAACCUUUAUAACUGAAAUAUAACCUGUGUACGAAUUCAUGGAAUUUGUCACA